CCCCUAGAUGUUCUGGGCCGCACGCGCGCUACACUGACGAAUGCAACGAGCUUAUAACCUUGGCCGAAAGGUCUGGGUAAUCUCCAAAUUUCGUCGUGAUGGGGAUAGAUUAUUGCAAUUAUUAAUCUUCAACGAGGAAUGCCUAGUAAGCGCAAGUCAUCAGCUUGCGUUGAUUACGUCCCUGUCCUUUGUACACACCGCCCGUCGCUCCUACCGAUUGAAUGGUCCGGUGAAGCGUUCGGACCGUGGCCUUUGGACGGUUCGCCGUCUGUUGGCUGCGGGAAGUUCGUUAAACCUUAUCAUUUAGAGGAAGGAGAAGUCGUAACA
RNAcentral lists this ribosomal RNA (327 nucleotides) under uncultured eukaryote. RNAcentral's name for it is "partial 18S ribosomal RNA". It matches the Rfam family "Eukaryotic small subunit ribosomal RNA", at positions 1470 to 1796 of the family's 1831-position model. The record is from RNAcentral.